Molecule: ribosomal RNA, 700 nt
Filed under: uncultured Alphaproteobacteria bacterium
Lineage: Bacteria; Pseudomonadati; Pseudomonadota; Alphaproteobacteria
Description: bacterial SSU rRNA
Rfam family: Bacterial small subunit ribosomal RNA
Source: RNAcentral
AGCGGCGGACGGGUGAGUAACGCGUGGGAAUGUACCCUUCUCUAAGGAAUAGCCACUGGAAACGGUGAGUAAUACCUUAUACGCCCUUCGGGGGAAAGAUUUAUCGGAGAAGGAUCAGCCCGCGUUGGAUUAGAUAGUUGGUGGGGUAAUGGCCUACCAAGUCUACGAUCCAUAGCUGGUUUGAGAGGAUGAUCAGCCACACUGGGACUGAGACACGGCCCAGACUCCUACGGGAGGCAGCAGUGGGGAAUCUUAGACAAUGGGGGAAACCCUGAUCUAGCCAUGCCGCGUGAGUGAUGAAGGCCUUAGGGUCGUAAAGCUCUUUCGCCAGGGAUGAUAAUGACAGUACCUGGUAAAGAAACCCCGGCUAACUCCGUGCCAGCAGCCGCGGUAAUACGGAGGGGGUUAGCGUUGUUCGGAAUUACUGGGCGUAAAGCGCACGUAGGCGGACUGUCAGUCAGAGGUGAAAUCCCAGGGCUCAACCCUGGAACUGCCUUUGAUACUGCUAGUCUUGAGUUCGAGAGAGGUGAGUGGAAUUCCGAGUGUAGAGGUGAAAUUCGUAGAUAUUCGGAGGAACACCAGUGGCGAAGGCGGCUCACUGGCUCGAUACUGACGCUGAGGUGCGAAAGUGUGGGGAGCAAACAGGAUUAGAUACCCUGGUAGUCCACACCGUAAACGAUGAAUGCCAGUCGUCGGGCAG